Long non-coding RNA from Numida meleagris (helmeted guineafowl), 6029 nucleotides. RefSeq lists it as uncharacterized. The record is from RefSeq and is a predicted model, not a curated record. Lineage: Eukaryota; Metazoa; Chordata; Aves; Galliformes; Numididae. The transcript is spliced from 3 exons.
UCAAGAAAAGAAGGGGGAAAUGAAGAAUAAUCACAGUUAGAAUCUCAGCAGAAAAACAUGAAUUCAGGCCAUCCGCGUCGGACAGAUUCUGCACUCAAAGUAUUUUGCUUAGCUAGGGACUGUUGCAAUUGGCUCUCUGUAAUGAGAGUGAAGUAAUGGGCAAGUACAAUACAUUUUGUUUCUCAGUAUAUAUUGCCUUCUGCCCAGCUGAACAUUUUCUCAAAAUGUAUCAUUCUGAAUAUACUAUUUUUUUUUUGUUAUACCUAUAGCAGGGACUGUGUCACUAAGGAGGAUGGCAAUCUUUUCACUAAUUAACAUAUUGAUAUAUGUACUGCAUUUUGCUGUACACUGCCUCUGGGCAGAGGAUGAGAUAAACAUUAUGAAUUGCCUGAAUGAACUCUAAGAUACUGUCUGAUGAAUGAAAAUUACUGUACAUAGGUACACAGAGAUAUCCUACUGGCACAAGAAGUACAGUCAGCAUACUGAAUUCUGCAAAACCCUUACCUCUGAUGACAGCUUUUUAUAGUAGAAAGGGCACGUUACACAAAUUGUACCAUCUAUGUUGCUGAAAAAUUCCCUUGUACAUCUCAUGGCUAGCUACUUCCACACAUUUUAUGCAAGGAGAAGUUGGCAUUUGAAUUCUGCUCAAAAGUGACUGUAUUUAAAAUAAGUGAUGUCUCAAGCUUGCAAAUAAACCUUCAUAAGCCUGCAACAUGGCCCUUUGCCUCCUGCAGUCUCUGACCAGGCUGAUCUGAAAUAACAGCUCCUGCAGUUGCUUCCCCAAUACUUAUGCAGUCAGCUUAGCAGGGCAGAUGGCCAAUCAUUAGGGUACCAGCCAAAGAACCACAGUUAGUUUCUGUCAAACUUCUCACGUGGCACCUGGCAAAUUAUCUAAGCCCAGACGCUAUUUAGGCAGCUUAUAAUUAUAUCAUGCCUAGCCAUGCAUCCUACAGCACUCUAAAGAAAGGUAGUCUCUUGAAGUUGGUCGUAAAGUUGUGCUCAUAACCUUUGUUAAGGCCAGAUUUCCAUUCAGUAAUGGCAAGAAAAACAUUCUUCUUGAAACACUCUUGAAAAGGAUUCUUUUUUAUGAGUACAUUUCACAAUUAAAAGUGUAAACGGCAGUUCUAGCAGCAUUUCCAACCCCUUAUAAAUAAAUAACUAUGUAGGUCCCUGAAAGUAUCUGCAAAAUUAAAGAACAUACAGAAAAUGAAAAUCAGCAUGUACGUAUUUUCACCUCCACUUUCCUUACGUUAUGAUUAUUCAGCUUUUAAGAUUUGCAUUUUUAGGUUUCUCCCCAGCUACAAACACAAAACACAAGGAAAGUGAAGAUCCUGCGGUGAUCAGUAAAUGAUUAGAAACGGAGACUCAAACAAAAGGCAAAAGACAGAUGUCCUGAGUUUCACAAGGCUGUUGAUGCUGAUGAAAAAACUAAGAAGGUAUUUUUUGCACACUGUUAUAGAGAACUAUAAAAUGUAUAGGACACAAGAAAUAGAGCUCCUUUUUGUUAGCAUCACGCAUCUAGAAAUGUUUAAGCUCAACAAGUUUGUUACUGCCUCGUAGGAAAACAGGUGGUGAUUUUCACGCUUCCUGUUUCACAUAAGCAGAAGGAAGACCGGGAUAAUAAAGGAGAUUUUCUAUCCCAUCUAUAUGAAUGUAUGACCUCCUCAAUACUUCUUUAUUUCCUUUAUGGUGAAAAAGCAAAAACAUGCCAUGCCUCCUUCAAUCCCACCUACUCAGGAAAUCAUGGCUGGAAUUAAUUGCUUAAUGAUUAAUGUUUUGCCAGCCAAUCCCUCAGUCUGUGGUUUCUGAUUAAUGACGGAGAGGCCACAAGGCUCUCAGGUAUUCAAAGAUUAUUUAUUAUACCUCCAGGUUCUGUCUGCGCUUUCACAGCAUUUUAACCAACACACAUGAUUUACAUCAUCAUCUUUAACCCUUUUAUGGUGUCUCACACCACUGGGUUUUCAUGUUUCUGGCAGACUUUGAUCUUUCAGUUAACUCCUUCUGCACUCCAAGACAAGAAGCACUUCUCACACUGGUCGGAUAAGGACAACUUUUCUAGUGUGUUGCUUGAGGUUGUUAUUGUUCUAAUAACUACACUAAGCAAAACCCAGAACAAUAAACCCUAAACACACUUUCUCAAUUCACAACAUGAAUUUUAUAUGAGACAAAACCUGGCAGGUGAAACCAUCUGUUUGCUUUGGGCAACGCAGCUGUGAAAACUUCUGCACACUGUGCAGUGCAAGACCAGACUUUUCAAAUCAACUUGUACUACUGAUGGACUAUGGUUUUGGGGAGCCAAACCUGGGAUAUCGUCAUACUAUCAAUUUUUCAAAAGGAAGAACACUCUUUGCAAAGCAGGUUCCUUUCAGUCAGAGGAAGUGGCACUCAAAAUCAAGGCACCAAAAAGCACUAGUUGUGUUUGACUAUUCUACUCUUCAGUUCAUCAGUUCAGUUCAGCAGGAGGGUUUGUUAUAUAUUGUUGUGGUUGCAGAUGAACACCCACUGAUUUUAUUAAUCCAACUACAUUUUAGAAUGUGAAAAACACAGCAUUAAUCUUAGCUCAGUCUGUACAUCUAAAAUCUAUUUACCCUUGGGUCUUUUCUGACUGAUACUGCAAAGCAGCCAGCUUCAGAGGAAGAUUAAUCUUACCCAUCUCAGACCCUUAUUCUGGUGUGAGAUGAAUCCGUUCUGGAAGCACCUAUUUUUCUCAGCUGACAAAAACUUUAAGUUAGUUUAAUAUUCAAAAUAUACAUAUCCAGGAUGUACAAGAUGUCUUCUCCUACUGAAAACUAUUUAAAGGAGAAAAAAAAAAAGUGCAAAAUGCAAGGUACCAAGUGUUUUAUUUUCUUUUCAGUAUAAUUUCUGUCCAUUCUCUAUAUUUUCAUAACAUCAUAACACACAUUUUGCAAAACAAAAUCGUUGGGAUUUCAAUCAAAUCAACAAGGUUUUAUACAUAUAUUCUAUGAGAAAGUGUGAGAAGUACUGUAUGCUGCUGCCUACUUAAUGAAAGUGUCACAGAUUUCUCUCUUUGUACUGCCUGAAUUUGCAACUCUUCUUUCUCCUGUGGGUCACCAUGACAGAGUUUGGUCAAUAGACCAGCUCAGCAAUUUGGGAUCAUUGUUGGCAACACAUCUGCUUCUUUUCCCAGUCUCUACUGCAGGCAACCACAGUAUCUUGCAGCCAUCAGAAGAGCUCCUGGCCACCCAAAAGAGCCAUUUACUAGGGCACAAUAAGCCAUGAUUGCUGGGGCUGCAGAAAGCUUGUGGCUUUGCUUCCUAAGGCAGACAUCUGGAUAGGCUAGCUGCUGUGGAAGAGACUGGGAUGCUGGAGUGACAUCCACAAAUGGUUCCUUAAGCAUCUGAUGGCUCUGCUCCAUUUGCUCCUGCUGGCUGCACUCAACUCCUCAGGAAACCUCUGUGCCUGACUCCUCAGGAAGCCUCUGUGCUUCAGCUUCCCAACUUCCCAUCAUAGGAGAAGCCAGGACUGACUUUCACUGAUCGUGUAUCCACUGCUUGGAAGCCUUGAAACAGUUCCAGCUGAUAAAAUUUCCCCAUUUUACAUUGCAAGGACCAAACUUUUUAUGAAUUCAACUACCACCAUACAAAAGCCUAGGGCUACAACCUUACUUGAAACUUGGAUCAAGAUAUACUGCAAGGAAAAACCAUGUUUACAUUGUUAAUGAGUUUCUCAAUCUGAAAGCUUAUAGAGCUGUGAUCACAUACUUCACUGUCCCUGAGCCAAGAGCAACAACGAUGAAGACAUAACACUCCCCGAGCAAUGCUGUGCUUUGCAUUCCCUGUUGCUUUUAGUUUUAACUUAAUUUCCUGCGAUCGUGAACAAAAUUUCCAAAGGGUUUGACGGCAAUAUGCUGCCCACAAGGCACCAAGGAACUUCCUUCAGCCUGUGGUCUCAGUUCCUAGGAUCUGUGGACAGCUAACAGUUCUUUGAAGACCAUGUUUUCACUUAUGCUUAUUUUAGUAUAAUGCAAAGUUGAGGUCUGCCCCUCUAUUUAAAUAUAUGUCUGCAAUUUGCAGGGAGAAAAACAAUAGGCUACUGAGAUGCCAGACUGGAAGGUUUCCAGCAGCAACAGGUCAAUCGGAAGUGCUUGGUAUGACAACCUCAGGCAUUCACACACAACCGCAGUUUUGUGGAAGAACCUGCCCCUGGUUUGAUGCCAUUCUGAAUCGCCCCACUCAAGCUUUACCAACGCUUCCCUCCCAAGCACCCCCAGAAGGUGUUUCCCAUAUUUCACUGGCAUGUACUUCUGAAACCAUCCCUCCCCUGCACUAAGGUACUCUCACCCUCCGAAUCAUGCAGCUCCAAGGGCCCAUUUCUUCCAUUUUAUCACCUAGUUUCUCCCAUGCCCUUGAAAGCCUUCUCAAAUGCCAGUGAAGCAACAGCAUCAUAGAAUCGUUGGAAAAUAGAACCAUAGACCAUAGGUCUCCAGACCAUAGUCUCCUCCAAGACCAUCUAGUCCUGACAACGUAAUCUUCUAUUGUCAGCUCUUAUUUGAAAAAUACAUAAACAAAUGAGUAAUUAAAGUACAACAGCUGACAUUAAAAAAAAACAAAUAGCUACUCUGGUCAGAGGUCAUUGAGUGUUUCUGUUAAGCCAGCGGCCCCAGACAGGCAAUAAAUACUUUCAGUUCUUUUUUCUUUUUGUUAGACGUGUAUGAAGUGGAGUCAUUAGUUAACAUGAUCGGUGACAGGUCAUCAGGCGGCGGCAGCCCGCUCGUCCUGCGGUUUUUCACUUCAAUCACGACAGGGUCUCUACCGUGCUCUCACAUCUGGCGGCCCCAAAGGUCUGAGCCAACCUCUUCCCCAGGUGCCACCCGAUAGAGCUGCGAUAGCAGCGAGUGUCCUCGCCCUGUUCACACCCGGAUGAUAGCUGACAGCAAGCCUUGCACCAACACUGAGAGGGAGAGGGCUCUGCAUUGAGAUUAUCGAGGUGUGCAAUUGCCCGCGUUGGAGAUUAAAGCUCUGACCGUUGUCUCACUUUGGGCGCUCGUUUCAGCCACAACCCAGUGUGAUUUUUUCCGUCCCAAAAGCGUGCAGGCAGCAAGCGUAAGCCUUCAAACACAAGGCCUGGCAUUCAGCAACUCCUCCCUUUGGAUCACACAAUCCGUAGGAGAACAAAGUGCUGAGGGCGCACGAGACCCUUCCUCGCACGCAGCCAUGCACCUGCGUACACACACACGGGCGCCCACGCCGCGCCUGGCAGCGCUCACCCUGCAGCAGCGCUCCGCGCCCUCCUCUCACCUCCUCCGCACAGCGCCGCAGCCAGCAGCGCGCCCUGCCCCGCGCAGCGCCGGCUGAGGGCUUCCUGCAGCGCCCUCCCUGCGCGGAGCCGACACCGCGCCCAGGUGCGCCCGGCCCGAGGAGAGCGGCCGUUAUAAGGCACGGCUCCCCACGAGCUUUGGGGGGAAGGAGUGAGUCUUUGGAUCCUGGCUGAGCCCAGUGGGUCAAGGGCUGGUCCGGUUUGCCUCUCAGCGGCUCUGCAAGGUGUGCCCAAGACUGACACGGUCCGCAUGAAAAUAGUGUGAGGAUAUUGGUGCGGUGAGAGCUCUCAGUCCAUCUCACUGAAAUCCCUUAUGCAGAGAAAAGCCUCAAUGGACUCAAUCUAUGAGAUGGAAAGAAAAACUGACUACGAAACUGAGAUGCUUUUGAAGGUGCUGUCAAAAGACAGCAUGAAAUGCUGCCUCCUCUCAGGUGGAGGGUGGCAAACUACCAGCUGUGUCCCACAUGUGACAAGAAUCUUGCAAAAUGGCAUUGCAGGUAUGAGGAGCUGAAGCAUUUUCUAAAUCCCUCAGCUUGGAGUUUGUUUAAACAGACAUACAGCGCAGUUCCUUGUUUUAUUCAAACCGUAUUCUAACAUGACUAAAUACAAGUCACACAAAUACCAGUUCGUGUAUAGAUGUCCAACCUUUUGGCUUGCCUGGGCUGCAUUGGGUGAAGAAGAAUCAUCUUGGGCCACAUAUAUGUAGGUCACUCUGAAAAUAAAGCCUCCUAUUUAUUUCCAUGGAAACUCAA